GAUGAACGCUGGCGGCGUGCCUAAUACAUGCAAGUCGAGCGAACAGACGAGGAGCUUGCUCCUCUGACGUUAGCGGCGGACGGGUGAGUAACACGUGGAUAACCUACCUAUAAGACUGGGAUAACUUCGGGAAACCGGAGCUAAUACCGGAUAAUAUAUUGAACCGCAUGGUUCAAUAGUGAAAGGCGGUUUUGCUGUCACUGAUAGAUGGAUCCGCGCCGCAUUAGCUAGUUGGUAAGGUAACGGCUUACCAAGGCAACGAUGCGUAGCCGACCUGAGAGGGUGAUCGGCCACACUGGAACUGAGACACGGUCCAGACUCCUACGGGAGGCAGCAGUAGGGAAUCUUCCGCAAUGGGCGAAAGCCUGACGGAGCAACGCCGCGUGAGUGAUGAAGGUCUUCGGCUCGUAAAACUCUGUUAUUAGGGAAGAACAAAUGUGUAAGUAACUAUGCACGUCUUGACGGUACCUAAUCAGAAAGCCACGGCUAACUACGUG
This 497-nucleotide ribosomal RNA is filed under the name uncultured bacterium. RNAcentral describes it as "partial 16S ribosomal RNA". It matches the Rfam family "Bacterial small subunit ribosomal RNA", at positions 28 to 507 of the family's 1533-position model. The record is from RNAcentral.